Molecule: unclassified non-coding RNA, 254 nt
Filed under: uncultured Alphaproteobacteria bacterium
Lineage: Bacteria; Pseudomonadati; Pseudomonadota; Alphaproteobacteria
Description: contains 16S-23S intergenic spacer region
Rfam family: Bacterial small subunit ribosomal RNA
Source: RNAcentral
UACGUAGGUGGCAAGCGUUGUUCGGAAUUACUGGGCGUAAAGCGCGCGCAGGCGGCUUCGUCAGUCAGGGGUGAAAUCCCGGGGCUCAACCUCGGCAUUGCCUUUGAUACUGCGGAGCUGGAGUCCGGAAGAGGGUGGUGGAAUAUCCAGUGUAGAGGUGAAAUUCGUAGAUAUUGGAUGGAACACCAGUGGCGAAGGCGGCCACCUGGUCCGGUACUGACGCUGAGGCGCGAAAGCGUGGGGAAGCAAACAGG